RNAcentral lists this ribosomal RNA (253 nucleotides) under uncultured bacterium. Its description in RNAcentral is "partial 16S ribosomal RNA". It matches the Rfam family "Bacterial small subunit ribosomal RNA", at positions 524 to 776 of the family's 1533-position model. The record is from RNAcentral.
UACGGGGGGGGCAAGCGUUGUUCGGAAUUACUGGGCGUAAAGGGCUCGUAGGCGGCCAACUAAGUCAGACGUGAAAUCCCUCGGCUUAACCGGGGAACUGCGUCUGAUACUGGAUGGCUGGAGUCUGGGAGAGGGAUGCGGAAUUCCAGGUGUAGCGGUGAAAUGCGUAGAUAUCUGGAGGAACACCGGUGGCGAAGGCGGCAUCCUGGACCAACACUGACGCUGAGGAGCGAAAGCCAGGGGAGCAAACGGG